This 64-nucleotide transfer RNA is filed under the name Miridiba trichophora. RNAcentral describes it as "tRNA-Ala". It matches the Rfam family "tRNA". Rfam says of the family: Transfer RNA (tRNA) molecules are approximately 80 nucleotides in length. Their secondary structure includes four short double-helical elements and three loops (D, anti-codon, and T loops). The record is from RNAcentral. Lineage: Eukaryota; Metazoa; Arthropoda; Insecta; Coleoptera; Scarabaeidae.
AGGGUAAUAGUUAAUUAUAACAUUUAACUUGCAUUUAAAAAGUAUUGGCUUACAAUUUACCUUA